RNAcentral lists this unclassified non-coding RNA (250 nucleotides) under plant metagenome. RNAcentral describes it as "partial contains small subunit ribosomal RNA, internal transcribed spacer 1, and 5.8S ribosomal RNA". The record is from RNAcentral.
GUUGGUGAACCAGCGGAGGGAUCAUUAGCGAGUCCCGCACUCCAAACCCACUGUGAACACAACCUCUCGUUGCUUCGGCGGGCGGCCCCUGGGAGGGAGCCGUAGCCCGCGAGGGCGCCCGCCGGAGGACCAAAACACUCUGUUUUUAUAGCGGUAGCCUCUGAGUAAAGACCAAAAUAGUCAAAACUUUCAACAACGGAUCUCUUGGUUCUGGCAUCGAUGAAGAACGCAGCAUCUGACUGACUCUCGG